AACGAACGCUGGCGGCAUGCCUAACACAUGCAAGUCGAACGAGACCUUCGGGUCUAGUGGCGCACGGGUGCGUAGCGCGUGGGAACCUGCCCUUAGGUUCGGAAUAACUCCCCGAAAGGGGUGCCAAUACCGGAUAAUGUCUUCGGACCAAAGAUUUAUCGCCUUUGGAUGGGCCCGCGUUGGAUUAGCUAGUUGGUAGGGUAAAAGCCUACCAAGGCGACGAUCCAUAGCUGGUCUGAGAGGAUGAUCAGCCACACUGGGACUGAGACACGGCCCAGACUCCUACGGGAGGCAGCAGUGGGGAAUAUUGGACAAUGGGCGAAAGCCUGAUCCAGCAAUGCCGCGUGAGUGAUGAAGGCCUUAGGGUUGUAAAGCUCUUUUACCCGGGAUGAUAAUGACAGUACCGGGAGAAUAAGCUCCGGCUAACUCCGUG
This 433-nucleotide ribosomal RNA is filed under the name uncultured bacterium. Its description in RNAcentral is "partial 16S ribosomal RNA". It matches the Rfam family "Bacterial small subunit ribosomal RNA", at positions 29 to 507 of the family's 1533-position model. The record is from RNAcentral.